RNAcentral lists this small nuclear RNA (275 nucleotides) under Neotoma lepida (desert woodrat). Its description in RNAcentral is "7SK RNA". It matches the Rfam family "7SK RNA". Rfam says of the family: 7SK was discovered as an abundant small nuclear RNA in the mid-70s but a possible function has only recently been suggested. Two independent studies have found that 7SK RNA binds the CDK9/cyclin T complex (known as elongation factor P-TEFb). The record is from Rfam by way of RNAcentral. Lineage: Eukaryota; Metazoa; Chordata; Mammalia; Rodentia; Cricetidae.
GGAUGUGAGGGCGGUCUGGCUGCGACAUCUGUUACCCCAUUGAUCGCCAGGGUUGAUGCAGCUGAUCUGGCUGGCUUGGCUGGUAUCUUCCUCCUCCUUCACCACUCCGUGUAUGCCCCUCCAGACGCCACACACCAAAUAGAGGAGACCUGGUCAUCGGUCAAGUGUAUUGGAGUAGCUGUGCUCCCUACUAGAGCCACUAAAUAAACUCNUAAGGUCCAAAGCAUGCAACAAAAGCCUGGACCUUCAUUCCCUCCACUGACAGCCUCACUUGU